GACGAACGCUGGCGGCGUGCUUAACACAUGCAAGUCGAACGGAAAGGCCCUGCUUUUGUGGGGUGCUCGAGUGGCGAACGGGUGAGUAACACGUGAGUAACCUGCCCUUGACUUUGGGAUAACUACAGGAAACUGGGGCUAAUACCGGAUAGGAGCUCCUGCUGCAUGGUGGGGGUUGGAAAGUUUCGGCGGUUGGGGAUGGACUCGCGGCUUAUCAGCUUGUUGGUGGGGUAGUGGCUUACCAAGGCUUUGACGGGUAGCCGGCCUGAGAGGGUGACCGGCCACAUUGGGACUGAGAUACGGCCCAGACUCCUACGGGAGGCAGCAGUGGGGAAUAUUGCACAAUGGGCGGAAGCCUGAUGCAGCAACGCCGCGUGCGGGAUGACGGCCUUCGGGUUGUAAACCGCUUUCGCCUGUGACGAAGCGUGAGUGACGGUAAUGGGUAAAGAAGCACCGGCUAACUACGUGCCAGCAGCCGCGGUGAUACGUAGGGUGCGAGCGUUGUCCGGAUUUAUUGGGCGUAAAGGGCUCGUAGGUGGUUGAUCGCGUCGGAAGUGUAAUCUUGGGGCUUAACCCUGAGCGUGCUUUCGAUACGGGUUGACUUGAGGAAGGUAGGGGAGAAUGGAAUUCCUGGUGGAGCGGUGGAAUGCGCAGAUAUCAGGAGGAACACCAGUGGCGAAGGCGGUUCUCUGGGCCUUUCCUGACGCUGAGGAGCGAAAGCGUGGGGAGCGAACAGGCUUAGAUACCCUGGUAGUCCACGCUGUAAACGGUGGGUACUAGGUGUGGGGUCCAUUCCACGGGUUCCGUGCCGUAGCUAACGCUUUAAGUACCCCGCCUGGGGAGUACGGCCGCAAGGCUAAAACUCAAAGGAAUUGACGGGGCCCCGCACAAGCGGCGGAGCAUGCGGAUUAAUUCGAUGCAACGCGUAGAACCUUACCUGGGUUUGACAUGGAUCGGGAGUGCUCAGAGAUGGGUGUGCCUCUUUUGGGGUCGGUUCACAGGUGGUGCAUGCCUGUCGUCAGCUCGUGUCGUGAGAUGUUGGGUUAAGUCCCGCAACGAGCGCAACCCUUGUUCACUGUUGCCAGCACGUUAUGGUGGGGACUCAGUGGAGACCGCCGGGGUCAACUCGGAGGAAGGUGGGGAUGACGUCAAGUCCUCAUGCCCCUUAUGUCCAGGGCUUCACGCAUGCUACAAUGGCUGGUACAGGGAGUGGCGAGCCUGUGAGGGUGAGCGAAUCUCGGAAAGCCGGUCUCAGUUCGGAUUGGGGUCUGCAACUCGACCUCAUGAAGUCGGAGUCGCUAGUAAUCGCAGAUCAGCAACGCUGCGGUGAAUACGUUCCCGGGGCU
This 1346-nucleotide ribosomal RNA is filed under the name uncultured bacterium. Its description in RNAcentral is "bacterial SSU rRNA". It matches the Rfam family "Bacterial small subunit ribosomal RNA", at positions 28 to 1381 of the family's 1533-position model. The record is from RNAcentral.